GACGAACGCUGGCGGCGUGCUUAGCACAUGCAAGUCGAACGGAAAGGCCCUGCUUUUGUGGGGUGCUCGAGUGGCGAACGGGUGAGUAACACGUGAGUAACCUGCCCUUGACUUUGGGAUAACUUCAGGAAACUGGGGCUAAUACCGGAUAGGAGCUCCUGCUGCAUGGUGGGGGUUGGAAAGUUUCGGCGGUUGGGGAUGGACUCGCGGCUUAUCAGCUUGUUGGUGGGGUAGUGGCUUACCAAGGCUUUGACGGGUAGCCGGCCUGAGGGGGUGACCGGCAACUUGGGGGGUAGAAAAGGCCCAAACCCCCUAGGGGGGCCGAGGGGGGGAUAAUUCAACAAGGGGGGGAAGCCUAAGGCGGCAACCCCGGGGGCGGGAGGACGGCCUUCGGGUGGAAAACCGCUUUCCCCUUGAACGAAGGAUGAGUGACGGUAAUGGGUAAAGAAGCCCCGCCUAACUACGU
RNAcentral lists this ribosomal RNA (466 nucleotides) under uncultured bacterium. RNAcentral's name for it is "partial 16S ribosomal RNA". It matches the Rfam family "Bacterial small subunit ribosomal RNA", at positions 28 to 506 of the family's 1533-position model. The record is from RNAcentral.